GGGCUUUCUAUCAUAUCCAUAACACCUGUGCACUUGUUGGAUGUCUAGAGACGUAAAGUCGACAGUCAUCCACUUACACUAAACAAUAAUGUAACAAAUGUAGUCUUAUUAUAACAAAAUAAAACUUUCAACAACGGAUCUCUUGGCUCUCGCAUCGAUGAAGAACGCAGCGAAAUGCGAUAAGUAAUGUGAAUUGCAGAAUUCAGUGAAUCAUCGAAUCUUUGAACGCACCUUGCGCUCCUUGGUAUUCCGAGGAGCAUGCCUGUUUGAGUGUCAUGAAAACCCUCAACCUUAGAUUGGUUAUUUGACCUUUCUUUGGCUUGGAUUUGGACGUUUGCCGAUGUCAAGUCGGCUCGUCUUAAAAGUAAUAGCUGGAUCUGUCUCGCGACAUGGUUUGACUUGGCGUAAUAAGUAUUUCGCUAAGGACAUCUUCGGAUGGCCCUGUUGCAGGACUAAAGACCGCUUUCUAAUCCAUUGAUCUUCGGAUUAAUAUUCAUAACAUCUGGCCUCAAAUCAGGUAGGACUACCCGCUGAACUUAAGCAUAUCAAUAAGCGGAGGAAAAGAAACUAACAAGGAUUCCCCUAGUAACGGCGAGUGAAGCGGGAAGAGCUCAAAUUUGAAAUCUGGUAGCCUUCGGUUGCCCGAGUUGUAAUCUAGAGAAGUGUUUUCCGCGUUGGCCCAUGUACAAGUCCCUUGGAACAGG
RNAcentral lists this ribosomal RNA (704 nucleotides) under Cryptococcus sp. DBVPG 10051. RNAcentral describes it as "eukaryotic LSU rRNA". The stretch from base 123 to 276 matches the Rfam family "5.8S ribosomal RNA". The record is from RNAcentral. Lineage: Eukaryota; Fungi; Basidiomycota; Tremellomycetes; Tremellales; Cryptococcaceae.